This 272-nucleotide long non-coding RNA is filed under the name Junco hyemalis (dark-eyed junco). RNAcentral describes it as "lncRNA (ENSJHYG00000004648.1)". The record is from RNAcentral. Lineage: Eukaryota; Metazoa; Chordata; Aves; Passeriformes; Passerellidae.
CCACCCAGUUCAAUCCCAGUUCAAUCCCAGUUUCAUCCCAGUCCAUCCCAGUUCAAUCCAAAUCUCUCCCAGUUCAAACCAGUUCAAUCCCAGUUUGUCCGAAUUUGUCCCAAUCCCCUCCCAGUUCCUCCCAGUUCAAUCCCAGUUUGUCCCAUUUCAAACCAGUUCAAACCAGUCCAUCCCAGUUCCCUCCCAGUUCUGGGGCCCCUCCCCCACCAGCGCUGCCUCUGAGCCCCUCCCCCCCCUCAUUUUGAGGGUGGGGGAGGGGCGGA